AGUGAACGCUGGCGGUAGGCUUAACACAUGCAAGUCGAACGGCAGCACAGUAAGAGCUUGCUCUUACGGGUGGCGAGUGGCGGACGGGUGAGGAGUACAUCGGGCUCUACUUUUUCGUGGGGGAUAACGUAGGGAAGCUUACGCUAAUAUCGCAUACGACCUACGGGUGAAAGCAGGGGAUCUUCGGACCUUGUGCGGUUGAAUGCGCCGAUGUUGGAUUAGCUAGUUGGCGGGGUGAAGGCCCACCAAGUCGACGAUCCGUAGCUGGUCUGAGAGGAUGGUCGGCCACACUGGAGCGUGGACACGGACCAGGCUCCUACGGGAGGCAGCAGUGUGGAAUAGUGGACAAUGGGCGCAAGCCUGAUCCAGCCAGACCGCGUGUGUGAAGAAGGCCUUCGGGUUGUAAAGCCCGUUUGUUGGGAAAGAAAAGCAGCAGGUUAAUACCCCGCUGUUCUGACGGUACCGAAAGAAUAAGCACCGGCUAACUUCGUG
RNAcentral lists this ribosomal RNA (492 nucleotides) under uncultured bacterium. Its description in RNAcentral is "partial 16S ribosomal RNA". It matches the Rfam family "Bacterial small subunit ribosomal RNA", at positions 29 to 507 of the family's 1533-position model. The record is from RNAcentral.